RNAcentral lists this unclassified non-coding RNA (223 nucleotides) under rhizosphere metagenome. Its description in RNAcentral is "partial ribosomal RNA internal transcribed spacer region". The record is from RNAcentral.
GUUGGUGAACCAGCGGAGGGAUCAUUAUAGAGCUUAAAAACUCCUAAAACCAUUGUGAACUCAUCCUUUAUCGUUGCUUCGGCAGGCGGCCCCUCACCGGGCCUUAGCGUUCCCUCACCCGGAAAGCGCCCGCCGAAGGCACAAAACUCUUCUGUAUUUUAUGGAACUUCUGAUUAAACAAGCAAAUAAAUUAAAACUUUCAACAACGGAUCUCUUGGUUCUG